This 253-nucleotide ribosomal RNA is filed under the name uncultured bacterium. RNAcentral's name for it is "partial 16S ribosomal RNA". It matches the Rfam family "Bacterial small subunit ribosomal RNA", at positions 524 to 776 of the family's 1533-position model. The record is from RNAcentral.
UACGUAGGGGGCAAGCGUUGUCCGGAAUCAUUGGGCGUAAAGAGCGUGUAGGCGGUCCGGUCAGUCGGUUGUGAAAGUCAAGGGCUCAACCCUUGAAUGCCGGCCGAUACUGCCGGGCUAGAGUCCGGAAGAGGUGAGUGGAAUUCCUGGUGUAGCGGUGAAAUGCGUAGAUAUGUGGAGGAACACCGAUGGCGAAGGCAGCCCCCUGGGUUAACACUGACGCUCAUGCACGAAAGCGUGGGGAGCAAACAGG